GGAGCUUAGGUCCACAGAGAGGAGACCGAGAGAAUAGAGAAGAGAUGGAGUUCUAAGAUUUAACAGUUAAAGCUUUCAACACCUUCGAGUGAAUCUUCUCACCGCCUCCUCUACUAAGCCCCUCCGAAUCUCAAACCCUCGUCACCGCCACCAUCGUUUCUUAGAUUCUUCUUCACCGGAGUCGCCACCACCACCGCCACGCUCGUCAUAACCACCACUGGUCACCUCUCUUUCAUUGUCUGCGGUAGAUCAGAAGAAGAAGAAGAAAUAUAAACUUCAAAGUCAUUGUUUUUAUUCUGGUGAUGGAGACAGAGGCCAGGAUGUCAUGAGUGUCACUGUCUAUCACCGCUCUGUCUGUAAUUCACAGACAUGCAUCGAGAAGCAAGAUGGCGCAGAGCGAAUGCGGGAGAGAAGGAGGUGAGUUGUGGUGUUUCUAAUCCAUCUGAGAUCAAGGAAUUGAGCAUUAUAAAGGAAUUGCAUCUCAGGACAGUGAAAGAGUUCAAGAUCGACUCCUGAAAGGUAUAGCCAUGAUGAAGGAGCUGACACUUGGAACCAGAGACUACGUAGUCUCUUUUGGAGAGUGCUUGUUAACAAAGAUUUCGUGUGUCUUGAGAGGUUUAGAGACCAAGGGAAGAGGACGACCAUGACAGGAGGGAGAGGCGGAUUAGGUUUAGGUUUUGGCUUAAUGUGUUUUAAUUUGUUCUUUUGGUUUAAUUAAUUCUUGUUUAGUGUUGUAAAACUAAAUUUAUUUGUAACUGAAAUUAAUUAAUAAAUUAAUUAUU
Brassica oleracea var. oleracea is the source of this 782-nucleotide long non-coding RNA. RefSeq lists it as uncharacterized. The transcript has 3 exons. Lineage: Eukaryota; Viridiplantae; Streptophyta; Magnoliopsida; Brassicales; Brassicaceae. The record is from RefSeq and is a predicted model, not a curated record.